GAUCUCCAGCUUUGUUGCAUCUCUAUUCUGCUCCUCGAGGUGCUCAACAGGAGAAGCACUCAAUAGGAGAAGCAGGAGCAGCGGAGCGUUCGCCUCGUUGCAGGUCGACUUCGGGGUGCGUGGACAAACAGAUGCUAGGGGCAUUGUUUCACACAACACCUACACCAAUGACCACUGGACAAGUGAAGCAAAGGUACUUGUGAACAACAUGAAAAACUUUCAGCCAUCCUUUGAUUACAUGGAAAUAUGCCUUUGAUGCAUCCGUGUUAUUAUUUACUGACCGACUGUGUUUAGCAACUUCAGUGUGUAGAUCAAAAUUACUACUCCCUCCAUCCGAAAAAGCUUGUCCCGCGAAUGAUUGUUUGUAGCAUCAAGUUAGUGGUAGAUACAUCCAUUUGAGGAAUAAGCUUUUCCGAAUGGAGGGAGUAUAUGAUGUAAUUAACCAAUAUCACUAAGAAGUGCUCCUGGACACAAAAUGCUCUAUACUAUCA
Long non-coding RNA from Triticum aestivum (bread wheat), 491 nucleotides. RefSeq lists it as uncharacterized. The transcript is spliced from 3 exons. The record is from RefSeq and is a predicted model, not a curated record. NCBI's taxonomy places the organism in Eukaryota, Viridiplantae, Streptophyta, Magnoliopsida, Poales, Poaceae.